GACGUAGGAUGCGAGCGUUGUCCGGAUUUAUUGGGCGUAAAGAGUUCGUAGGCGGUUUGUUAAGUCUGAUGUUAAAGACUGGGGCUCAACCCUGGGAGUGCAUUGGAUACUGGCAGACUCGAGUGUGGUAGAGGCAAGCGGAAUUCCCAGUGUAGCGGUGAAAUGCGUAGAUAUUGGGAAGAACACCGGUGGCGCAAGCGGCUUGCUGGGCCAUAACUGACGCUGAGGAACGAAAGCUAGGGUAGCGAAUGGG
This 253-nucleotide ribosomal RNA is filed under the name uncultured bacterium. RNAcentral's name for it is "partial 16S ribosomal RNA". It matches the Rfam family "Bacterial small subunit ribosomal RNA", at positions 524 to 776 of the family's 1533-position model. The record is from RNAcentral.